GCUAGAAUCCAAAAGCUUCAUCACUCUAAAAUGAGCAGUGUGUCAAGUGACAAUUUAUCACAGUCCACACUCCCACUUCAAUAAAUUUCACAUAGGUUGAGUCUGUUGACUCUGAACUGGCUGGACGAUUUGAUGACAACUAGAGAUUUCUCAAUUCUAGAACCUUUAAUAAUCAGAGAAAUGAUCAAAGAGCAGACAACCGGAAAGGAAAGGAGAAAAGUAAAACCACAAAUGAGUUCCAGUGUUCCUGACAAUCAAGAGUUGACCAUGCUUUAUUCAAGGACAUAAAUGCCCACUUCUCAUAUGCAGCUUUUUCUGUCUACUUUUAGAUGUCUGCGGAGUUUCUUUCUUUUCUUUUCUUUUCUUUUAAGUUUGCACUUAAGUUAUGUGACUGACAGGUGAUAACUUUAAGCUCAGGUCCACACACGUACCUGACUCCAGACUCUACAAAGGACUAGUCUCACCACAGUCUAAGAGAAUGUUAAGCACACCUAGGAGACCGGAGGCCUUUUCCAGAAGUUCAAUAUACCUUAGAGAAUAAAGACUGAGUCUGCUAUUUCACUGGUUUAGAGAACUCCCAGCUGUCUCCUGACAUCUAGCUCAUCCUCUUCAACAUGGGACACACUUGAGUAUCUCAAGACUCUACAGACUCAUGGUGCCUAGGGCAUUUGGAUGUGGGGGAAGGGAAUUAUAAUGAUUCAUGAGUGGCAGGUGAAUGCAAGGUUCUGUAUUUCAACAUAGAUAUGGGAAAACCCAUACAAGUGGCUCCAGGCACAUGCUUGGCCAAACCCUCCUUCCUCCAAGAUGUAAAACAUGUGUGUCAGCAAAGGCUGAGGAGUGGUGAGAAGACACACCCUUUUUGUUGAUAUGUUGGAAACAGACAUAACAGACUUUUCUACUAGCAGCAAUGCAAUGAUCCAGGACAAUCCAGAGGAAUUUAUGAGAAAGAACUCUAUCUACAUCCAGAGAAAGAACCGUGGGAACAGAAACGCAGAAGAAAAACAUAUCAUGUUUUUAGAUCAUGUGGUUCUAUGGGAUUAUGAUUGUGGUUUUGCCUAUAAAAGAUCACUCUAUUGCAAAUAUGAAUAGCAUAGAAAUAGGUUUUGAACAAUGAUACAUGUAUAACCCAGGGGAAUUGCCUGUCAGCUCUGGGAGGGGGAAAGAAAGAGGGGAGGGAAAGAACAUGAAUCAUGUAACCAUGGAAAAAUAUUCUAAAGAAAUAAAUUUUUAAAAACAAUUUUAAAAAAUUUGGAA
This 1254-nucleotide long non-coding RNA is filed under the name Monodelphis domestica (gray short-tailed opossum). RNAcentral's name for it is "lncRNA (ENSMODG00000035966.2)". The record is from RNAcentral. Lineage: Eukaryota; Metazoa; Chordata; Mammalia; Didelphimorphia; Didelphidae.